RNAcentral lists this unclassified non-coding RNA (161 nucleotides) under uncultured Chaetothyriales. Its description in RNAcentral is "sequence contains ITS2". Lineage: Eukaryota; Fungi; Ascomycota; Eurotiomycetes; Chaetothyriales. The record is from RNAcentral.
UCACUAUAUCAAGCGUGGCUUGCUGUUGGGCCCUUUUGUCACCGGGUGACAGGUCCAAAAGACAAUGACCGGUGUCAUACAGACUCUAUAUGCAACGAGCUUUUAACAGCACGCAUCUGGCAGUUGUGUGGCCCGGUUCUGACCCCCUUUUAUUUUCUCAA